Molecule: transfer RNA, 76 nt
Filed under: Erwinia phage phiEaP8
Lineage: Duplodnaviria; Heunggongvirae; Uroviricota; Caudoviricetes; Schitoviridae
Description: Erwinia phage phiEaP-8 tRNA-Asn
Source: RNAcentral
UGGCGACUCAGACAGGACUUGAACCUGUGACAUAUGGAUUAACAGUCCACCGUUCUACCAACUGAACUACAGAGUC